Daphnia carinata is the source of this 312-nucleotide long non-coding RNA. RefSeq lists it as uncharacterized. Lineage: Eukaryota; Metazoa; Arthropoda; Branchiopoda; Diplostraca; Daphniidae. The record is from RefSeq and is a predicted model, not a curated record. The transcript is spliced from 2 exons.
AAUUUACAAACAAUGGAACGAAAUGCAAUGAAAAAAAAACGAAAAACCUUCUCGAACAGACGGUAUCGACAUGAGUGGUCCAUCUUGCUGGAAUUGGACCUCCUGCUGACUGCAUUUUGGCCGUCCUUUAUCUACAAAAUCCGCCAAAAGACUAGAUAGAGAUCGAUUGUGGACGUUAUGGGGCAUAUACCUGUUUUUGACUGGUGAUAUCCAGGACGACAGCGCCGGCAUUCCAGCUUUCCAUUGCUGGCCGAAACAUCAGCGCAGAUGCAGCCUUCUGGACAACUGCUGGAAUCUAUUAUGCGUAAGUUU